UUAUAUGUUUGUCUUGGACUUUUUCACAGCUCCUGAGGGAUGCUCAGACUCUAAGUUUGCACUUUGACUGCCAAGGUACUUCAUUGUGAUUAACCCUGAGAAGGGAACAGCCAGCCGGGGAAAAGUAAAUAAUACCUAAGAAGACAAGUGAGCUGACGGUGAAUCCUUGUCACAACUCUUCUGAAGAACUUCACGUCACUUAAUAAAGUCUAUCUCUCUUCUUUCUCACUCAGUGAGCUGUGAGCCUGGAAGCCUGGAUGGCAUUACAAAUCGUGUAUCCUGCAAUCUGCUUACUUGUGCUUUUAUAUUUUUUAACAGUAGUUUGCAAAGCAGUUGCUGUUUAGACUCAAGACAAGGUUUUGCAGGUAUCUCAGGAUAUUGUAAUUAACAGGUUUACAUUGAUCCCCUGUGAAAGGGGCGUGAACCUUGAGAAUUAUUUUUUCA
This is a long non-coding RNA of Thunnus maccoyii (southern bluefin tuna), 444 nucleotides long. RefSeq lists it as uncharacterized. The record is from RefSeq and is a predicted model, not a curated record. Lineage: Eukaryota; Metazoa; Chordata; Actinopteri; Scombriformes; Scombridae. The transcript has 3 exons.